RNAcentral lists this ribosomal RNA (897 nucleotides) under uncultured candidate division WS6 bacterium. RNAcentral describes it as "bacterial SSU rRNA". It matches the Rfam family "Bacterial small subunit ribosomal RNA", at positions 32 to 893 of the family's 1533-position model. The record is from RNAcentral.
AACGUGGCUGUGUGCCUAAGGUAUGCAAGUCGAACGAUCCCUUUCUGAUUUCUAGUAACUUCGGUUGCUAGUUUUCUAUCUGGGAUAGUGGCAAACGGGUGAGUAACACGUAGAUAACUUGCCUCGAAGUCGGGAAUAGCUCGUCGAAAGACGGGGUAAUAUCCGAUGGUCUCUAACCACUUCGUGUGUUUUAGAGUAAAGCUUUUGUGCUUCGAGAGAGGUCUGCGUCCUAUCAGCUAGUUGGUAAGGUAAUGGCUUACCAAGGCUAAGACGGGUAGCUGGUGUGAGAGCACGGUCAGCCACCAUGGAACUGAGACACGGUCCAUACUCCUACGGGAGGCAGCAAUUAGGAAUCUUGCGCAAUGGGGGCAACCCUGACGCAGCGACACAGCGUGGAGGAUGAAGGUCUUCGGAUUGUAAACUCCUUUUAUAUGGGAAGAAUAGAUGACUGUACCAUAUGAAUAAGGACCUGCUAACUACGUGCCAGAAGCAUCGGUGAUGCGUAGGGUCCGAACGUUAUCCGGAUUUAUUGGGUGUAUAGAGAUGCGUAGGCGGUUUGAUAAGUCUUGAGUUAAAGACCUCGGCUCAACCGAGGAAAAGCUUUCGAUACUAUCAGACUUGAGGCAUAGAGGGGUGAACGGAAUUCCGAGUGGAGUGGUGAAAUACGUUGAUAUUCGGAGGAACAUCAGUGGCGAAGGCGGUUCACUGGCUAUUGCCUGACGCUCAGGCUCGAAAGCGUGGGUAGCAAAACGGAUUAGAUACCCGUGUAGUCCACGCUGUAAACUAUGGAUGCUAGGUGUUCGGUACAACUGUUUUUAAUCUUCGGAUUUUAAACGGGAGUGCUGAGUGCCGCAGCUAACGCGUUAAGCAUCCCACCUGGGAAGUACGGCCGCAAGG